UACGUAGGGUGCGAGCGUUGUCCGGAAUUAUUGGGCGUAAAGGGCUCGUAGGCGGUUUGUCGCGUCGGGAGUGAAAACACCGGGCUUAACUCGGUGCUUGCUUUCGAUACGGGCAGACUAGAGGCAUGCAGGGGAGAACGGAAUUCCUGGUGUAGCGGUGAAAUGCGCAGAUAUCAGGAGGAACACCGGUGGCGAAGGCGGCUCUCUGGGCCGACCCUGACGCUGAGGCGCGAAAGCGUGGGGAGCGAACGGG
Molecule: ribosomal RNA, 253 nt
Filed under: uncultured bacterium
Lineage: Bacteria
Description: partial 16S ribosomal RNA
Rfam family: Bacterial small subunit ribosomal RNA
Source: RNAcentral